This 543-nucleotide ribosomal RNA is filed under the name uncultured bacterium. Its description in RNAcentral is "bacterial SSU rRNA". It matches the Rfam family "Bacterial small subunit ribosomal RNA", at positions 355 to 896 of the family's 1533-position model. The record is from RNAcentral.
UGGGGAAUUUUGCGCAAUGGGCGAAAGCCUGACGCAGCAACGCCGCGUGGAGGAUGAAGGCCUUCGGGUCGUAAACUCCUGUCGGGGGGGACGAAAACUUCGCGCAAGCGGAGUCUGACUGUACCCCCGGAGGAAGCCACGGCUAACUCCGUGCCAGCAGCCGCGGUAAUACGGAGGUGGCAAGCGUUGUUCGGAAUUACUGGGCGUAAAGGGCGCGUAGGCGGCUUUGCAAGUCAGAUGUGAAAUCCCCGGGCUUAACUCGGGACCUGCAUCUGAAACUGCUUUGCUCGAGUCCUGGAGGGGGUAGUGGAAUUCCCAGUGUAGCGGUGAAAUGCGUAGAUAUUGGGAGGAACACCGGUGGCGAAGGCGGCUACCUGGACAGUGACUGACGCUGAGGCGCGAAAGCUAGGGUAGCAAACGGGAUUAGAUACCCCGGUAGUCCUAGCCGUAAACGAUGGACACUUGGUGUCGGGGGUAUUGAGUCCCCCGGUGCCGGAGUUAACGCGUUAAGUGUCCCGCCUGGGGAGUACGGUCGCAAGACUG